RNAcentral lists this ribosomal RNA (350 nucleotides) under uncultured bacterium. Its description in RNAcentral is "bacterial SSU rRNA". It matches the Rfam family "Bacterial small subunit ribosomal RNA", at positions 355 to 722 of the family's 1533-position model. The record is from RNAcentral.
UGGGGAAUAUUGGACAAUGGGCGAAAGCCUGAUCCAGCCAUGCCGCGUGCGUGAAGAAGGCCUUCGGGUUGUAAAGCUCUUUUGUCAGGGAAGAUAAUGACUGUACCGGGAGAAUAAGCUCCGGCUAACUCCGUGCCAGCAGCCGCGGUAAGACGGAGGGGGCUAGCGUUGUUCGGAAUUACUGGGCGUAAAGGGCGCGUAGGCGGCCAUGUAUGUCGGGGGUGAAAUCCCAGAGCUUAACUCUGGAACUGCUCUCGAAACUGCAUGGCUAGAGUGAGUAAGAGGCGGACGGAAUUCCGAGUGUAGCAGUGAAAUGCGUAGAUAUUCGGAGGAACAUCGGUGGCGAAGGC